RNAcentral lists this ribosomal RNA (468 nucleotides) under uncultured bacterium. RNAcentral describes it as "partial 16S ribosomal RNA". It matches the Rfam family "Bacterial small subunit ribosomal RNA", at positions 28 to 507 of the family's 1533-position model. The record is from RNAcentral.
GACGAACGCUGGCGGCGUGCUUAACACAUGCAAGUCGAACGGAAAGGCCCUGCUUUUGUGGGGUGCUCGAGUGGCGAACGGGUGAGUAACACGUGAGUAACCUGCCCUUGACUUUGGGAUAACUUCAGGAAACUGGGGCUAAUACCGGAUAGGAGCUCCUGCUGCAUGGAGGGGGUUGGAAAUUUUCGGCGGUUGGGGAUGGACGCGCGGCUUAUGAGCUUGUUGGUGGGGUAGUGGCUUACCAAGGCUUUGACGGGUAGCCGGCCUGAGAGGGUGACCGGCGACAUUGGGCCUGAGGUACGGCCCAGACUCCUACGGGAGGCAGCAGUGGGGAAUAUUGCCCAAUGGGCGGAAGCCGGAUGAAGCAACGCCGCGUGCGGGAUGACGGUCUUCGGGUUGUAAACCGCUUUCGCCUGUGACGAAGCGUGAGUGACGGUAAUGGGUAAAGAAGCACCGGCUAACUACGUG